Long non-coding RNA from Macaca fascicularis (crab-eating macaque), 7823 nucleotides. The record is from Ensembl. NCBI's taxonomy places the organism in Eukaryota, Metazoa, Chordata, Mammalia, Primates, Cercopithecidae.
UUUUUUUUUUUUUUUUUGAGAUGGAGUCACGCUCUGUCAUCCAGGCUGGAGUGAAGUGGCGCCAUCUCAGCUCACUGCAACCUCUGCCUCCAGGUUCAAGCGAUUCUCCUGCCUCAGCCUCCUUACAGGCUUGCAUCACCAUGCCUAGCUACUUUUUGUAUUUCACCACGUUGGCCAGGCUGGUCUUGAUCUCCUGACCUCAAGUGAUCCAUCCGCCUCGGCCUCACAAAGUGCUGGGAUUACAGGCGUGAGCCACCACACCUGGCCUCAUAACUUGGCCCUUAUAGAGAUGGGUAUCAAGAUGAAGAAUCUAUGGCAAGAAUAUUUUCCUUCAAAUUAUUUUUGGUAGUGUAGCCAUUCAGUAUUCAUUCAGCUUGAAGAACUCAAUAUAAACCUGGAGCUUUAGACUCUAAGUAGUGCAAUAGAAAUUUCCACAAUGAUGUAAAUGUUCCAUAACUCUGCUCUCUCCAGUAUGGUGGCCACUAGCCACAUGUGGCUACUGAGCACUUGAAAUUUGCUUAUUGCAACUAAGAAACUAAUUGUAAGUGACAUUAGCUUAAAUUUAAAUUAUCACAUGAGACUAGUGGCUAUUUACCUACAUUGUCACUCUAUAGUAAUGACUAAUUCACAAAUGUGGCCGCUUAUUGAAGUUACUUGGAGAACUUUUUUUAACACCAAAGACUGGGUCCCACCCCUCAAGGAUUCUGAUUUAAUUUGGUAUGAUAAAUAGCCUGGGCAUUAUACAUUUUUAAAACUCUCCAGGCAAUUAUAACGUGCAGUAUAUUUUGAGAACCACUGUUCUAGAAAAGACAUUCCAGAGCUAACUGGCUAGUCCAUCCAUUAGCUACAGAUGCAUUCACAUCUCUGAAUAUUAUCAACACUAUACAUAGUUUGAUUUGUGUCCCCAAAGCAAGCUCUUUACAGACAACAGGUUUCAGGAGCCUACUAUGUGGCAGGCCCUCUGUCUAUACUAACAGUACCAUUAAUGUGCUCUAAAAUAUUCAUUGUGUGGUGCUAUGCGCUUGCAAGCUUCCAUCAAUGUCCAAAGUAAAUGGCAAAUUCCAGGCAAAGGAACCUUACUGAAUUCAGAGUCUGAAUAUACAAGUUAAGUCAUCUAUAGUCAAAGGAAAAGGCCCAAGAGAAAUGAGUUGCCCCUUACCUCCACCCAAGGCACAGAGGAGAAGAGAAACCAUUUUUGACCCAGGGCACUUGCAGGGCACCCACCACUAUCUGUCCAAGACAAAACAUAAUGUCUGGGUAACUAGUUGCAUCAUAGGUAAGAGUCCCCAGAUGAGAAAUCCAAUUCACAAAUGAACAUCAGCUUGCCCUACACGUGCAUGUCCAAAGAAAUCACACAUGUGGCUUGGUGUCCUGUGCAUUCUGUGUUACAGGGAGCAUGGCAAGGGAAGAGGAGGCUGAAGCCCAGCCUGUUACUAAAUUUGUUAAUGGUACUUCCCAAGACUGACUUCUUUUCCUGCUUCACAAUCCUGUAAACUCCAACUCUUUAAUUGCCUCACUUUCUUUAUGAAUUUUCCCUCUUGCUCUUAUAAAGUAGGAGUCAAACUUUCUGAAAUGCUUGAAUUCACACUUCUUUUUUUUUCCUACUGCUGGCUGAGCAACUCUUUGGGCAGGCAACUGGUUCCUCAGUGCUAAACGACUCAUUCCAGCAACUGACCUUUGGACAGCACUUUAGCCAAAGGGACCUCUGGGGAAAGGAAAUGCAGUGAGAGAAACCACUCCAGAACUGCUGAGCCACCCUUUGUAGACUCUAUCUGCAGCUCUUCCUUGCCUCACACUUUUCUGUUGAGUAGCUUUGAUUUUUCUCUCUAAGGUGCUGAUGUCUUUAGGGAACGUCUGUUUUAUCUAUCUGGCCAAUGGUGAAAGCGAAAUGCUCCAUACAAAGAAUGAUAAACAACUACCUGAUUCCUCCUGCGCUUAGAAAAUAAAUCCUCUAUUAAAUCUUCAGUUCUUACUGCAUUAUGUUAAAUCCCACCUGGAGAGACUAUUUCACGUACCUUAACCUGAUAUGUUCAAAACAUUGGUUAAAAAGCCUGCUUUAUGAGAAACCCCAAAGAGCUUUAGAAAAACAGGAUUUGUGUUUGUUGUAGAUCAAAAUGCUGACAGAUUUAGUCAAUCAAUAAUAAAUAUGUGCUGUCUUUUCAUCUUUUUUUCUUUUUUGAGACUGGGUCUCACUCUGUCACCCAGGUUGGAAUACAGGGGCAUGAUCAUGGCUCACUGCAACCACCGCCUACUGGGUUCAAGGGAUCCUGCUGUCUCAGUCUCCUGAGCUGAGCUGACAGUCGCACACGACCACUUGGGCUAAUUUUUGUAUUUUUUGUAGAGAUGGGGUUCUGUUACGUUGCCCAGGCUGGUCUCAAACUUUUGGGGUCAGGUGAUAUGCCCACCUCGACCUCCCAAAAUGCCGGGAUUACAGGUGUGAGCCACCGCACACAGCCUGUCUUUUCAUAUUAAGCACAUUUGCCUUUUUAAAAUAUAUAUUUUUAAUUAUUAAAGGAAUACAUAAUUUUUUAAAUUAGAAAAUAUAAUUAAAGCAAAAGGUUAAUAAAAAUUACCCAGAAUACUACCAUUGAGAGAUAACUUCUGUUAACAAUUGUGUAUAUGUUCUGCUCUUAUUUUUGCCUUGAAUGACUGUGAUGAGGAUAAAUUAAGUGACAGAGAAGCACAGUUUUUCCAUGGCCCAAUGAGAUGCACAAGGAAAGCACUCUAUAGUACUAGCCUUUGGGAAAAACAGGUGACUGUACACCCUUCUGACUAUUGUAAACUCCCAUCUCCAUUUCAUGCACCCGUUGAACAUUUAAGUAGCAAUUAUUUCUUGAACAUCUUUCUGAGCGAUGUUGUAAUCAUGCUAAAAUAUUUCAUCAUUUUUCUGCCUCUAAGGAUCUUACAAUAUAGUUAGCUGUAUUCGUCCCCUAGGGCUGCCAUAACAAAGUACCACAAACUGGGUGACUUAAGCAAACAGAAGUUUAUUGCCUCAAAACCUUAGAAGCCAGAAGUCCAAGAUCAAGAAGAGCUGGGCUCCCUCUGAAACCCAAAGGGGAGAGUCCUUCCUUACCUCUUCCCAGUUUUUGAUGGUUGCCAGCAAUCCUUGACAUUCCUUGGCUUGUAAUUGCAUCACUUCAGUCUCUGCCUUUGACAUCACAUGGCUUUCUCCCAUUGUGUCUGUGUCUUCCCACAGCUUUCCUCUUCUUAUAAGAACACCAGUUAUGUUGGAUUAGAACCCUCCAUGAUGACACAUCUUAACUUGAUUAUAAUUGCAAAUACCCUAUUUCAAAAAUGGUCACAUUCACAAGUACCAGAGAUUAGGACUUAAACAUGUCUUUUAGGAGGUACACAAUUCAACCCAUAACAUUGAGGAAGUAAAAAAUAAACUCACAUGAUCCAAUUUGAGAGUAUUUCAUAGCACCAUGAAAGACCUGUAUAAUUAUGUUUUCAGGUAUGUGACCCAAACUACCAGUGCUAUGGAAAUUCAUACAACUGUUUUAAAGGAUAACAUAGUUGGGAAAGAGUUUAUGGACUUCAUUGCACCUGCAUAGGACUCACUGGGAAACAUAGAUUUGGGAUGUUAAGGACUGAAUGUUUAUAUCCUCCCAAAAUUCAUAUGUUGAAGCCCUAAUGCUCCAUGUGAUGAUAUUAGGAGGUGGGGCCUUUGGGAAGUAAUUAGGUCAUGAUGAUGAAAUCUUCAUGAAUAGAAUUAGUGCCCUUAUAACAAGAGACAUGAGAGCUUGCCUUCUCUCUCUCACACAUACAAUAUGAGGAUACAGUGACAGCGUGGCCAUAUGCAAACCGGGAAGCAGGCUCCCUCCAGAGCUGAAUCUUAAUCUUAGACUUCCCAGCCUCCAGAACUAUGAGAAAUAAAUGUUGGUAGUUUAAGCCACCCAGUCUAUUGUAAUUUGUUAUAGCAGCCCAAGCUGAUUGAGACAGGGAAGAAAUGGAAAUUUCAAGAAAGAGAUAAAAUUGAACUCUUCAGCGUAAUAAACAUAGUACUCCUUCAAAUGGCUCCCACGUUCCUCUUUGUUCUCAUGCCCAAGGAGACUUUCUCAGUGAUACUGAACCACAUAGGAAUCUCCCAAACACCUUCUUAUUUUGUACCACCAUGCCUGUGCACACGUUGCUUGUUCCAACUCGAAUGUCUCUCCUCUUCUCAUCACCAACACACCACAGCCACAGAUCAAUUUCCUACUGUCCCUUAACAAACUCAACCCUGAUAUCACUAACUCCAGGAAUUUUGUGCCUUCCAAGACAAUUAGUCACCAGCCACCCUCUGCCACCACUACACCUUGUAGCUAUUGCGUAUUAACCUGUAGUACCUUAAGGACAGAGAGACUGUGUCACAUUCAUCUCCAUAUUCUCAACAUGGAGCACAGAGCCUAACACUUAGCAAGUAGUCACCAAAGAAAUUUAGUUGAACGGAAUUGAAGGAAAUGAGGAGAGGAGUUGAGUUGGGCCCAGCAAAGGGACAGGAUCCCAAGUUGCAUUGAUGGGUAAGCUGUUGUGAAGAGAAGUUAGCCAUCACAGGGGGAAGGGGCAGAACUGCCAUGGUGGCGGGGCGGGUCUCUGAGUGAGUAAAGGCCCCGACUUGUGAACUGCCCUGUCAUGUAGGAAAACACAAAAGCAUCAAUACAACAACAGCAUUAGAUUCAAGAGGGGGAAGACGGGAGAUGUGGACAGUGGGCCCAGUGGCCGGGACCUCCUGGCACUGGGGACUAUAGAAGGCUUUCAAGCAGGGAAAUGUGUUCAGAUUUUAAUGUGAGAGACAUGGCUCAGCAGCAGCAUGGAAGAUGGCAAGGUGACAGUCAAGGCCAAAAUGAAGGGAUCUACUAAGUAAACUCCAGAGACCAGCAGUGGGGAGGAGGUGAGGGACAUGAACCAGAGGAUGGGGAGGUGGUAAUAUCAACAGAGUUGCAGUGUUGGGAAAGAAAGACUUGAGCUUUUGCACUUGAAUGAUGGGUGACAGAAUUGCUGGUCAUUGAAAUGGGAAAUAUAAGAAGAGCAGAAGGUAUGGGGUCAGGUUGGCCUUUGUGCACCUUGAAUUCCCGUGGAAUGCCUAGACUUUAUAAACUAGGUCGACAACUAGGUUACGGUUUUUAGAGUUUCAAUUUUUUUUUUUUUUUUAAGUAACAACUAUAAUUAGAGUUUUGUUUGAAAUGAAGUUCUGGCUGUUCAGAAAGGUGCCACAAGUUUUCAUGACAUCACAACUUAAAAAUGUGCAUAACUGUCAUCGGGGUGAACGGGCCCGGUCUCAUCACUAUUCAGUUUCUUCACAAAUCCAGUUCUGAACUGGAAAGAAAUGAAAACCACAAAGCUAACUGACAGUGACAGCCCACCUCUUAAGGAGCACAAUUUAAAUAUAGAUAUUUCAUUUUUACUGUUGCACAAAGAUGAAAGGGAAUCAGCAGCCCCUGCAUGCUUGAUAGUAAUUAUUUUUACUUUGGGGCACACUGAGCUGUUCAGCCACCUGUCCUAACGGCCAAGGAUGAGCCGUACUGUGACAGAGGUAAAGACAUAACUGUAUCUUGCUAAGGUGAGAAAAUUGGUCUUUAGGGUCUAAUAUAUAAAUAGGACAUUGGUAAUGACCAUCUGUAGUUUUUUGGGCUUACACAUCAUUCUAAUCAUGGUCAUGCCAGUUGCUAGCUAUUUUCUCCCUCUCUAAAAUAGGAUAAUCAUAGAACCUACAUCCAAGGAUUGUUGUGAAGAUAUAGAAUGAUAAUGCAGGUGAAGUACUUAGAAUAGUGUCUGGCUUAGUAUAAGUGCUCAAUCAAUGGUAGAUAUUUACUCAGUAAAAAUGAUUCUGAUGUUUUCCAUCUGUUUAUGUCAGAAAUUUCCAAGCAGCAGAAACCCAAAUUGAGCAGAAAAUAUCCUGUGGUUUCCUAGUACCCAGUCUUUCCAGGUGUCACUGGUGCUAUCCUACCAGAAGGACAAUGGGGAAGAGACGAGGGAACAGGGGGCUUCCCCAGGCCUCACCACCAGGGGGGACUCCAGCAGGCAAUUGUGGUGACCCUACUUGUAAGGACACUUUGCAGUUCUGCAAAUUCCCCCAUGCUUCUUCAUCAGCCCAUGUGAUCUAGAUCACUGUUUCUCUCCUUCUGGAAGACUCUUCACCCCUUCUCUCCCUUACCCUGUUAAUACCUGCUUGGAAUAUCAGUAUAACAGAGUAGUUAAGAGCUAUAAAAUGAUGUGCCUCUUACUAGGUGUGUGACCUUCGCCAGACUAAUCUCACCAAACCUUAAUUCCUUGUCUUUCAUAUAAAGACAAUGAACUACCUACCUCAUAAAACUAUUAAAAGAAUUGCAUAAAAUAAGAGAGAUCAAGUUCCUAGCCCAGGGACAGCACAUUGCAUGUAUUUCUGUUCAGUUCUGGUCUCACCACAGCUACAAAACCCCUCCUGACAAUCCAGGAAGGGCAAAGCACCACUGCUGUCUUCUCCUCUAGGACUGGCGCACACUUUGCUUAUGGCACACAGAGCACCAGCCUUGAGCCCCCCACUUACAGGCCUGUCUCCUCUGUUAGAGACACAUGAAGGGUACAGGGGCCCCUCCUGGUACAUAGUGGAAUCCUCCAGAUCCAGCAGGCUGCUCAGUACAUGCUGGGCAGUCAUCAAAUGUCUACUGAAGACAUAGAUGAAUCUAUCAGGAGGGUUGGAAGUAUUCAGGAUCAAUUAAUAAGAUUAUCCUAUCCUGCCACAGAUUUUCAAAAAGGAUUGAUCAUAGUUGAGUCUGUCACAAUUUUUAAAAAUCAAUUAUAUAGGCCCGGCAUGGUGGCUCACGCCUGUAAUCCCAGCACUUUAGGAGGCUGAGGUGGGUGGAUCACUUGAGGUUAGGAGUUCGAGACCAACCUGGUCAAUAUAGUGAAACUCUGUCUUCACGAAAAAUACAAAAAAUUCGCCGGGUAUAGUGGUGCGCGCCUGUAAUUCCAGCCACUGAGGUAGGAGAAUCGCUCGAACCCGGAGGCGAAGGUUGCAGUGAGUCCAGAUGGUGCCACUGCCCUCCAGCCUGGGCAGCAGAGAGAGACACUGUUUCAAAAGGAAAAAAAAAAUGAUUAUGUCAAUAGAGUGAAUAAGAAUGUUUAUAUUUGUGCACUCUUGUUCAUAGCAACAUGGGUCACGAUAGCCAAAAGGUGGAAGAAACCCAAGCCCAUUGGCACACAAAUGGACAAACAAAAUGUGGUUUGUACAUACUGUGGAAUAGUAUUUAGCCUUAGAAAGGGGGGACUUACGCUACAAUAUGGAUGAAGCUUGAGGACAUUGUAAUGAGUGAAAUAAGUCUGACACAAACAUACUGUACAGUUUCACUUAGAUGAGUUUCCUAGGGUAGUCACAUUGAGAGAGACAGAAAGAAAAAUGAUGAUUACCAGAGGCUGUAGGGGAGGGGGAAACAGGGAGGUGGUGUUGAAUGGGUCAAUGGGUACAGAGUUUUCAUUUGGGAAGACAAAAGGUGGUGAUGGCUGCACUACAGUGUGAAUAUAUUUAGUGCCACGUAACUAUGCACUUUAAAAUGGUUAAAAUGGCUGGGUGCAGUGGCUCACGCCUGUAAUCCCAACACUUUGGGAGGCCCAGGCGGGGGGAUCACUUGAGGUCAGGUAUUUGAGACCAGCCUGGCCAACUUGUUGAAACCCUGUCUCUACUAAAAAUACCAAAAUUAGCAGGGUUGGGUGGCAGGUGCCUAUAAUCCCAGCUACUCAGGAGGCUGAGGCAAGAGAAUUGCUUGAACCCGGGAGGCACACAGGUUGCAGCGAGCCAAGAUCAUGCCACUGCACUCCAGCGUGAGUGAUAGAGUGAGACUCAAUCUCAAAAACAAAUAAAAAAA